UACGGAGGGUGCAAGCGUUGUCCGGAAUUAUUGGGCGUAAAGAGCGUGUAGGCGGUUCGGUAAGUCUACUGUGAAAUCCUGGGGCUCAACCCUGGGCGUGCAGCGGAUACUGCCGGGCUAGAGGAUGGUAGAGGCGAGUGGAAUUCCGAGUGUAGCGGUGAAAUGCGCAGAUAUUCGGAGGAACACCAGUAGCGAAGGCGGCUCGCUGGGCCACACCUGACGCUGAGACGCGAAAGCGUGGGGAGCGAACAGG
RNAcentral lists this ribosomal RNA (253 nucleotides) under uncultured bacterium. RNAcentral describes it as "partial 16S ribosomal RNA". It matches the Rfam family "Bacterial small subunit ribosomal RNA", at positions 524 to 776 of the family's 1533-position model. The record is from RNAcentral.